AUUAAAUGAGAGUUUGAUCCUGGCUCAGGACGAACGCUGGCGGCGUGCCUAACACAUGCAAGUCGAGCGAAGUAUAUUUAAGUGAAGUUUUCGGACGGAACUUAAAUAUAUCUUAGCGGCGGACGGGUGAGUAACGCGUGAGCAACCUGCCUUUCACAAAGGGAUAGCCUCGGGAAACUGGGAUUAAUACCAUAUGAUACUUAACUUUCGCAUGAAAGAUAAGUUAAAGCGAAAAAGCGGUGAAAGAUGGGCUCGCGUCCUAUUAGCUAGUUGGUGAGGUAAGGGCUCACCAAGGCGACGAUAGGUAGCCGCCCUGAGAGGGUGAACGGCCACACUGGAACUGAGACACGGUCCAGACUCCUACGGGAGGCAGCAGUGGGGAA
This 383-nucleotide ribosomal RNA is filed under the name Vibrio parahaemolyticus. Its description in RNAcentral is "bacterial SSU rRNA". It matches the Rfam family "Bacterial small subunit ribosomal RNA", at positions 1 to 361 of the family's 1533-position model. The record is from RNAcentral. Lineage: Bacteria; Pseudomonadati; Pseudomonadota; Gammaproteobacteria; Vibrionales; Vibrionaceae.